Molecule: ribosomal RNA, 638 nt
Filed under: uncultured archaeon
Lineage: Archaea
Description: bacterial SSU rRNA
Rfam family: Bacterial small subunit ribosomal RNA
Source: RNAcentral
CGCGUGAGUGAAGAAGGCCUUCGGGUUGUAAAGCUCUUUUGUCAGGGAAGAAACAGCAGCUCUAACACAGUCUGCGAAUGACGGUACCUGAAGAAUAAGCACCGGCUAACUACGUGCCAGCAGCCGCGGUAAUACGUAGGGUGCAAGCGUUAAUCGGAAUUACUGGGCGUAAAGCGUGCGCAGGCGGUUAUACAAGACAGGCGUGAAAUCCCCGGGCUUAACCUGGGAAUGGCGUCUGUGACUGUAUAGCUAGAGUGUGUCAGAGGGGGGUGGAAUUCCACGUGUAGCAGUGAAAUGCGUAGAUAUGUGGAGGAACACCAAUGGCGAAGGCAGCCCCCUGGGAUAACACUGACGCUCAUGCACGAAAGCGUGGGGAGCAAACAGGAUUAGAUACCCUGGUAGUCCACGCCCUAAACGAUGCUGACUAGUUGUUGGGAAUCUACAUUCUCAGUAACGUAGCUAACGCGUGAAGUCAGCCGCCUGGGGAGUACGGUCGCAAGAUUAAAACUCAAAGGAAUUGACGGGGACCCGCACAAGCGGUGGAUGAUGUGGAUUAAUUCGAUGCAACGCGAAAAGCCUUACCUACCCUUGACAUGUCACUAAAGAAGUAGAGAUACAUUAGGUGCCCGUAAGGGAAC